Molecule: non-coding RNA, 6363 nt
Organism: Cricetulus griseus (Chinese hamster)
Lineage: Eukaryota; Metazoa; Chordata; Mammalia; Rodentia; Cricetidae
Source: RefSeq, a predicted model, not a curated record
AAAAAGAGAAAAAGAAAAACUAUCAGAAAAUCCGUUCAAUCCAUGGUCAUUUGUUUUAUGGAAACCAUACAGUUAAAUUCCUCAGAACAACCAUAUUUACUUUGUGCAUAAUGAGGGCAAAUAUGAAUUUUGCCUUUUCAGAUACUGGUCACUACGAAAAUCUAUUAUUUCACCUUCCUUAUAAGCAUAUGAUUCUAAGCCUAGGAUUUCAAUACCACAUGCCUCCCCACAUCCAGAAACUAUGUCUAGUUCCCAGAAGAGAGUACCUGGCUUGGUUGCCAUGUAUCUAACUGCAUUCUCCUCUACAGUUUUUACCUAGUAGUGGUUCUCUGUAUGUUUGUAUGAGGCUGCUCUUCUUCCUAUGCAUCAAUCAGUUCAAUAGGCAAGCCAAGUUCUGUAUUUCUACUGUUUGAAAACAAAAUUUCUGUCACUUAAAACCUCUCCAACUAACAUUUUCCAAAGAACAAAACAAGAAAGCAAAUGUGUCUUGAUUUCACUUGUCCUUCGUCUCAUCUCAAAAUUAGUCUUAGAGAGUGACAGUGAUACCUAGUUCAUGGUCAGUUUGUAUGUGCUUUCUGACCUGUCAUCCCUCUGGAUGACAGACCAUGCUUUGACUUCAGGAGUAAUACCUAAGUGGGAUUUUAAUAAUUGAUUAAGAUGGGGAAGAGAUUUGGGGUCACUAGGAUACUCUAAGAUAAGAAAGUGAAUAUUUCCUGAAAAAGUUGACUAUGGGACAUGUGAAGGUACACAAAUUCAAAUAAUGACAUUGAAAAUUUCAGAUACCCCACUGAUGAUAAAAAUGUCAAAGAUGUGGCAGGGAAAGAUGGACCUUAAUGUACAUUUAAUUUGAGUGAAACAGCUAUGAAAAAAAAUAAGAUUUGAAAAUCUUUACACCAGAAACUCAGAACUGACUCUUUCUUGUUUGUCUUAUAGCAGACCACAGCUAUUUAUGAAUAUUUUCCGAACCAAUACCUGAAGGCAUUUGUUCUGUAAUCCCUGGAUGGCCUUUAAAAAUCUUCUUCUGUCACAGUUUAUGCGUCUUGCCAUCGUCUGAAAUAGUUUUUAGGCCUAACAGUCCUCUUUACUACUUCAGAUUGCUGUACUAUUCAGCGUGCAUUAAGUCCUUGGGGGAUUCUGUGUGAAAGGUCAGCUGUAAUAGCUGGUUAUUGCUCAUUAUUAUUGAGUCUCCUUUGUUCCAUACAAUCCUGCCAUACAGUUGGGGAACACUCCUCAAGGGAUGAGUUUAUCUCCGUGUACUUUUGCCAUGGAAGCAGAAUUCAUUUGCAGCCAUUACCUUCUUUUAAUUCAGUCCCAGACAGGAAGACAUCAUUCUCUGGUCAGUGCCUUGAAAUCAUCACUUAAAAACCCAUGCCUUGUAAUGUGUGAUUGUUAUCUUUACCUGCAAUCCCAAACUUACUAUGACCCUCCCCCAAACAGACACCUCCAGCCUUACAGUCUCUCCUAAUUUUAUUCUAACUACAAGUUAGAAUGAGUAUUCCUCUUCUAUAAGACAAAAUAUUUUGACUGUGGUUUGAGAAUUAAUCAUUGCCAGGUUUGAAAAUUUAACCUGAACACUGUGGUAAUAUUUAAGUAAACACUUCCUCUUUUUAACUGGAAGUGAUCUUGGUAAAGUUAAUGCACCUGGUUUCUUUGUCUUUGAACAGAAUAGUUUGUGCCGCCCCUGUGGUGAUAAUAUUAUUUUAUUUUUUAAAAAGGGAGUAGCUUUGGAACACAUACUGAAUCAUCCAAGGGGAAUCUACAGUCUAGCUAUCAAGUUAUUGCUGCUCUUCCCUACAAGGUCAAAGCAUCCUUUGUAGGAUAGGCUAAGUCCAACCUUGAGAGUAGAUCACUGACAUUGUCUUAUAAACAGGAGUGUGUGUUAGGUGUGAAAGUGACUGACUCUUGGUUUAGGAAGCUACAACCUCUCCAGUUAGAUUAUAGGCCCUCUGAGGAAAGAAAGUCAGCUACAAAAACUAUACAACUAUAAAACUUGAAACUAGCUGGGUUUCUUUUCAUUUGUUCGAAGGGCAUUAAACAAAGAAAGGAAAAAAGAACUGUGAAAAAAGAAAGGUGAAAAACACCCAUCAAAUGCUAACAACAAGAAAAUGUAGAAACCACAAAAUCUUAACUUUGCUUCCUGAUCAAAGUACUGAUAAGUAGAGCAGUUGAGUCAGCUGAAUUCCAAAGAGAGACAGAACAUGCAGACUGUUGGUUUGUCACAAACUGGGAGAGGAAAGGAUAAUCGCCAUGUGGGCUGAUUGGUCACAGUCAGCUACAGUUGCCCUGACUGCUAAAUGGAAUGGGCUAAUGUGUCAGUGUGAAAGAGUGGAGAGCUUCAGACAGUCAGUGCUUGUUUUGUUCACCUCAAGCACCUGGCUCCACUAUCAUGUACUUUGACAGAGUGCUGAUGAGGGACAAUGUCACAGAACUGGACUCUAGGAUCAACACCCCAGGGCAGAACCAUCCAUGGUAACUAGUAGAUGUUGUACAGAAAUAUUAUGAGACCCUAUCUCUGCAUUCUCAUCAGAGGUAAAAUCCUGAGGUGACUAAGGAAUGGAGAGCUAAGCCCAUUAUCUCUAAAGAGUGAAAAGGACCUGCUGUGAUGGAAGCUGCCUUACUGAACACAUUUCCAUGCUGGGAGAAGGCAGAAAACCAUGUUGCCCAAAGGAUUCUACUCCGGAACUAAGCAGUGAGUCACUGAACCUAAUGGCAGAUGGACAUAAACCAGCUUCACAAAGAAAAGUGGAGAGGGAGAAAAACACAGCAAGCACCGAGCUGUCUGUCAGACUAUAUUAAAGGUACCUGGAGUCACAAGAGAAGAUGAAAAAAAGAAAGGACAGAAGAAAUAGUUGAAGAGACAAAAGCUACUAAAAGAGACUUAUAAAUAUAUUCAACCAAGGAUCCAAAGAACUUGGAGUAAGAUAAACGCCUAAUAAAAGCAAAACAAAGUUAAAAUAAGUCAAAACACACAGAGCAUGGCAGGAAGACUUCAAUGAAUUGGAGAUAAAGAGAAAACCUUGCAGCAGCCAGAGGAGAGGCAUGUCACAAACAAAAGAAAAUAGAUGAGUAGAAGAAUAAACUUCUUGUCAGAAACUAUGAAAAGUGAAAGACAACGAUGUGACAUCUGUGAAUCACUGAAAGCAAACAAUUCUGUCAGUCCAGAAAAUAAUCUAACACAACCAUCUCUCAAAAAUCGAAAGUAAAGAUGAACUUUUCAGACACAUAAUGUGAGCACCAGCGGCAGAGGAUUUGUCCUCGAAGAAACAUAUGAGGGAAUUCUUCACACUCACAGGACCAGAUACAAUGGAUCAACAGAAAGAAAUGAAAAGCCACAGACAUGGAAAACCAAAGGCAGAGAGAGAGAGGGAGAGAAAGAGAGAGGGAAAGAGAGAGAGGGAGAGAGAGAGAGGGAGAGAGACAGAGAGGGAGAGAGAGAGAGAUAGAGAGGGAGAGAGAGGGAGAGAGGGAGAGAGAGAGAGAGAGGGAGAAUUUUCUAGUUAUAAAUUGGCAAGGAAUAACUCCUGGAAGUCACCAUGUUAACAUUGUAUUGUGAGAUUUAUAAGUGAUGAGAGCUGUAUGUGACAAUAGCAAAAGCAGACCCAAGAACAGGCUUGGAAAGUCAGUUAGGAAGUCAUAAUGCUGACUCUGACACCCACACCCAGACACACACAAUGGGCAGGGAAGGCAAAUGCUGAUGGGCAAUGGUGAAAACUUCAGAGCCACCCAUCAGAGCUAUGAAUUCAGUUAGGCAAAAGGAACUGACUUUUUAGUCAUACACCUACAGCAAGACCCUUGAAAGAAGACACACAGCCAAGGCUAGCAAAACUGUAGCCCCUGAGAUGCAGCUCUUCAUGAACCAGCAUGAAAUCUUUCAUCUUUUCCUGAAAGAUGAAAGAUUGCAUGAAGCCAUCAUGGGAACCUCAGAGCUCUCAGCCAUCAGGGCUGCUCUCAGUCACAGGAGGACAACAGUUAUUGCGAGGAGAUUUGAUGCUUGACAGAGUAACAAUGAGAAACUACAGCCUUUAUCACAUUUGUGGUUGGCUCCAGAUGGCCAGCCAAAUUCAGAAAACAUACAGUAAAGAAAAUGGGCCAAUUCUUUUCUUUAUGAAGCUUAUACUAAAGAGGAAAUGUAUAAUAAACAUGUAGAUGCACGCAAAUGUUCUGAAAUUUGAGAUUAAUGUAAAAACCAUGAAGUCAAAGAAAAAGUGUAGGAGGAAGUACCUUCUACUGGGCAACAUGGCCUGGCAUAGUCAAUGAGAAGUGAGACUGGAGGAUGAAGAAGGAGUCUGUCCCAUACCAUAUGAAGAAACGACAACUCAAAAUGCUGGUGUAAGGACAACAAAUGUAGCUGGAAGCUAGACAACUGACCUGACUGCAGCUACAGGCCGAGGCUGAAUGUGAAGGGCUCAGUAUUCCUACCACACAGCCAAACACUAUUGUAACACAGACCAAAGGCUUUAGUGUUGAGAGCCACCAUAAUUUUGGAAUUAGUUCAACUCUUCAAAUGCUUCUGUCUACAUUGUAUCUCAUUUUCCAGGAAGACCAUUUCUGAACAGCAGCUGCCUAUGACAGACAGACUCUCAGAAGCCACACAGAUGUCUGGUUUUUACAGCCACUGUCAACAAUAAUUACCUUUUGAAGUGCAGAGAAGCCGUGACAAGAUAAUGAUGCAUACAUGACAAGUGACCAGGUACAGAAAAUGAUGACCAGGUGUCUGAAACUCAAAAGAGAAAUGUAGGAUAUGUAAAGGUGUUUUGUGACUGUUAACUAUCCAUGCCUGCAGGAGCAAAAUGGCAAAAUUAUUUUAAAAAAUCCUAUCACAGAAGCAUCAUUUACACAAUGAACAAAGUAUAUGUUUAUAAGACAGAGCCUCAACUCGAAGCUGUUUCUGUGCUCCAUCACAGAGUAGGGCCUCUCUAGCUCCCAUGCUGGCCCAGAGUAGACCCACUCUAGCUCCAGCCUAAGCAACAUCACACGGAGGGACUGCUUCCACCACACCACUAGCACACUGUGUGUCGGCAUCAUCUCCAGCAUCACAGCUCUGCUCAGGAGGAUGUCAUGUCUGUUUCAUCACUUGGGAACUAAUUUCACAGCCUGUUUCCUCACAUUCUCACCAUGCUAUGGCCAUCAUGACUGUUGUCUCACUUCAAACAGCAAGUGUGUGGCUUUUCCAAGGUCUAUGCACCCUGCUACACCUCUGUCUGGAAGUCUUCACCCAGGCCUCGGCCUUCUUCACUUCUUUCCACUAAGUCUCAGGCCUUACUGUAUCCUCAGAGUAGCUUUCCCCCACUGUUAUUUGCAAGAAAGAAAGUGUCAGCACUCCUGCAUGGUGACCAGUUACUCUUUGCAUCUGUCACCACUAGGGAGUAAUUGUUAACUUACUUGGAAUUACAUAGGCCCUAAUUGUAAUACUAGGGUUAUGUUAACCCUAAUGGUUACUUGGUUCCCUGCUAUAUCCUGUUCCAGGAACCCUGUGUGUGUGUGUGUGUGUGUGUGUGUGUGUGUGUGUGUGUUUGUGUGGGCCGGUGUGUACACACAUACUCAUGCUAUGUGCACAUGUGGAGAUCAGUACACCACUUUCAGGAAUCAGUUUUCUUCCUCCAAGUUGAUCCAGGAACUGAAUUUAGUUCAUCAGGCUGGGCAGCAAGCACCUUUACCCACCAAGCCAUUUUGCAGGUCCUAUGUCAAAACAUGGUGUAAAAUGGAGUUAUGUGAGGAGAAUUCUGAGGCUCCAAGAAAGCAAGCCAAGAGUCUUGUGACCUCAGUUUCUUCAAAACAUGGAAUUGUUCCUGGAAUGCAUUUUUGUGCUCUUCCCAGGUGUAGUAGAUAGGAGUGAGUUUACUUCAGAUUGUUCAUUAUAUUUUGCUAAUGCUAUUUAGUUAAAUUUAUAAACUAUACUUUAUAUGCCUCUAUAGAAAAACAUGUUUUUUGCCAUGUGUGGCUUUGUCCUUGUUAUUGUAUACUACUUGAAUUCAUGAUAAUUUGCCUCAGGUGACCACUAAUGCUCAGGGUAUAAAUGCUCUGACUAAAGUUGCCUAUUGCAUGAGACUCUGGUUUGCUUCAUUUAUAGGCCUAAUUUUCCAGGGUCCCACUGCCUCUAGAGCAGAGACAGCCCUAUAGUUUAUUGUUUGAAAGAAAAUGUUCUGGAAACCACCAGAAAAGUGGUUGUUUUAUUAUAGAUGAAUAUUUAUUUGUUAAACUCACCUUGAGGUCAAAGCUCACAGGUGAUCAGUUCUAGUUCAUGACCACUGACUGGAUCAUUGUUGAUUUUAAAUUAUUCCUUUAACAGCCCACAGAUUAUAACUUUGUCUUAACAGCUAAAAAUGCAACUAAUUUAAAUAAAUUUGCAUUUAUCUCUGUGUA